Molecule: ribosomal RNA, 957 nt
Filed under: marine metagenome
Description: bacterial SSU rRNA
Rfam family: Bacterial small subunit ribosomal RNA
Source: RNAcentral
AGAGUUUGAUCAUGGCUCAGAUUGAACGCUGGCGGCAGGCCUAACACAUGCAAGUCGAACGGAAACAUGUCUAGCUUGCUAGAUGAUGUCGAGUGGCGGACGGGUGAGUAAUACUUAGGAACAUGCCUUUGGGUGGGGGAUAACUAUUGGAAACGAUAGCUAAUACCGCAUAACGUCUACGGACCAAAGGGGGCGCUUGCGCUCUCGCCUAAAGAGUGGCCUAAGCGAGAUUAGCUUGUUGGUGAGGUAAAGGCUCACCAAGGCGACGAUCUCUAGCUGUUCUGAGAGGAAGAUCAGCCACACUGGGACUGAGACACGGCCCAGACUCCUACGGGAGGCAGCAGUGGGGAAUAUUGCACAAUGGAGGAAACUCUGAUGCAGCCAUGCCGCGUGUGUGAAGAAGGCCUUCGGGUUGUAAAGCACUUUCAGUUGUGAGGAAAGGUUGGUGGUUAAUACCCAUUAGCUAUGACGUUAGCAACAGAAGAAGGACCGGCUAACUCCGUGCCAGCAGCCGCGGUAAUACGGAGGGUCCGAGCGUUAAUCGGAAUUACUGGGCGUAAAGCGCACGCAGGCGGUUUGUUAAGCUAGAUGUGAAAGCCCCGGGCUCAACCUGGGAAUAGCAUUUAGAACUGGCAGACUAGAGUCUUGGAGAGGGGAGUGGAAUUUCUGGUGUAGCGGUGAAAUGCGUAGAUAUCAGAAGGAACAUCAGUGGCGAAGGCGACUCCCUGGCCAAAGACUGACGCUCAUGUGCGAAAGUGUGGGUAGCGAACAGGAUUAGAUACCCUGGUAGUCCACACCGUAAACGCUGUCUACUAGCUGUUUGUGGAUUUAAUCCGUGGGUAGCGAAGCUAACGCGAUAAGUAGACCGCCUGGGGAGUACGGCCGCAAGGUUAAAACUCAAAUGAAUUGACGGGGGCCCGCACAAGCGGUGGAGCAUGUGGUUUAAUUCGAUGCAAC